AUAUGUGCAUACAUAAUGUGGACACUGGCUAGGUUUGAAGUGAGAGUAGAGUUGUAAAUUGCUUUCUGAGAAAUCGGAUCAUACUUUGUUACUUGGUAGAGUUUAAGCACUCUGGAUCACAAUUUUUGGUUGAAAUUCAAGAAAUUGAUUCGUCUCAUGGGAAUUGGGUAUUUUGCAUGAUUUUCACCAUGACGCGUAAGUCAACCAGUCUUCUUGUGUACUAUUUCCUCCUGGUUUCCAUUAUCUUGGCUGCCACCUGGAGUCCUGUAGCGGCACAAGAUCCACCUGAACCUUCCACAGAUCAGGAGAAACAGGCCACAAACGUUCUGGUGAUAACAUGUCCCAGAGGUCAACAUUACUCGCAGCAUCAAGGCAGAUGUGUCAGAAGAUCAAGCAGACCAGGGAGACGAUGAAUACGUGAAUUCUGAUUUGUUAAUAAAAUUUAAAGAAACCAUCAAAGAGUUCAAUUUACAAAAAACGGGGGAGUCGGAGAAGCUAUGUAUUUCUCAAUUGUAUCAAUAAAAACUUAUCCUUUCACCAGUUCAUGCAUA
Folsomia candida is the source of this 551-nucleotide long non-coding RNA. RefSeq lists it as uncharacterized. The transcript is spliced from 2 exons. The record is from RefSeq and is a predicted model, not a curated record. Lineage: Eukaryota; Metazoa; Arthropoda; Collembola; Entomobryomorpha; Isotomidae.